GUGCGACUUUGAAAGUACAUAAAUUAAAAUGGAAACGAUACAGAGAAUAGUAGUAUGGUUCCUGAACUAGGAUGAAACGAUUUAAAAAAAAUUGAUUUAAUGUUUA
This 106-nucleotide small nuclear RNA is filed under the name Lepeophtheirus salmonis (salmon louse). Lineage: Eukaryota; Metazoa; Arthropoda; Copepoda; Siphonostomatoida; Caligidae. The record is from RNAcentral.